RNAcentral lists this long non-coding RNA (773 nucleotides) under Brassica napus (rape). Its description in RNAcentral is "long non-coding RNA (BNAP_LNC009264)". The record is from RNAcentral. Lineage: Eukaryota; Viridiplantae; Streptophyta; Magnoliopsida; Brassicales; Brassicaceae.
ACAAAAAAUAAAAACGCUAAUUUUAACGACGCUUAUGCUUCCAGCUAAACCCAAAAUCUUAAAUUCUAAACCCUAUACCCUAAAUUCUAAACCCAAAUCCAAACCCCUAAACCCAAACUCUAUAUCCUAAACCUUAAUCCUAGACCCUAAACCCAAAUUAUAUACCAUAAACUCAAAAACUAGACUAUAAACCUAAACUCUAUACCCUAAACCCAAGUCGUAGACCCUAAACCCAAACCGUAAAUCUUAAAUCCAAAUUAUAUACCCUAAACCCAAAACCUUAACCAUAAGUCCAAACGGUAAAUCCUAAACCCAAACCGUAAAUCCAAAACCCAAAACCUAUACCCUAAACCCAAAUCCUAGACCUAAAACCCAAACGGUAAACCCUAAACCCAAACCCCAAACUUAGAUGCUAUAGGGUUUGGGUUAAGAUUUACGGUUUGGGUUUAGGGUCUAAGACUUGGGUUUAGGGUAUAGGAUUUAGGUUUAUAGUCUAUUUUUUUUGGUUUAAGGUAUAUAAUUUGGGUUUAGGGUCUAAGAUUAGGGUUUAGGGUAUAGGGUUUGGGUUUUGGGGUUUGAAUUUGGGUUUAGAAUUUUGGGUAUAGGGUUUAGAAUUUAAGAUUUAGGGUUUAGGGUUUCGCUGGAAGCAUUAACGUCGUUAAAAUUAGCAUUUUUAUUUUUUGUAGCUAUUUUUUAUUUAAUUUAAUAUUUUUAAUUAAUAAUCUAUGUGUCACUUUGAUUGGUCGUAAAGAAUGAGGUGAAUUUAAAAAUUC